GAUGAACGCUGGCGGCGUGCAUAACACAUUCAAGUCGAACGGAGUUGUUGUUUUUAGAUCCCUUCGGGGUGACGGAGCUUCAACUUAGUGGCGGACGGGUGAGUAACGCGUGAGCAACCUGCCCUUGCGUGGGGGAUAACGUUUGGAAACGAACGCUAAUACCGCAUAACGUAUUCUUAUUGCAUGGUUUGAAUACCAAAGAUUUAUUGCGCAAGGAUGGGCUCGCGUCUGAUUAGGUAGUUGGUGGGGUAACGGCCCACCAUGGCGACGAUCGGUAGCCGGACUGAGAGGUUGAUCGGCCACAUUGGGACUGAGACACGGCCCAGACUCCUACGGGAGGCAGCAGUGGGGAAUAUUGCACAAUGGAGGAAACUCUGAUGCAGCGACGCCGCGUGAGGGAAGAAGUAUUUCGGUACGUAAAGCUCUAUCAGCAGGGAAGAAAAUGACGGUACCUGACUAAGAAGCCCCGGCUAACUACGUG
This 481-nucleotide ribosomal RNA is filed under the name uncultured bacterium. RNAcentral's name for it is "bacterial SSU rRNA". It matches the Rfam family "Bacterial small subunit ribosomal RNA", at positions 28 to 507 of the family's 1533-position model. The record is from RNAcentral.